This 404-nucleotide ribosomal RNA is filed under the name bacterium. Its description in RNAcentral is "partial 16S ribosomal RNA". It matches the Rfam family "Bacterial small subunit ribosomal RNA", at positions 355 to 776 of the family's 1533-position model. The record is from RNAcentral.
UGGGGAAUAUUGCACAAUGGGGGAAACCCUGAUGCAGCGACGCCGCGUGAGUGAAGAAGUAUUUCGGUAUGUAAAGCUCUAUCAGCAGGGAAGAAAAUGACGGUACCUGACUAAGAAGCCCCGGCUAACUACGUGCCAGCAGCCGCGGUAAUACGUAGGGGGCAAGCGUUAUCCGGAUUUACUGGGUGUAAAGGGAGCGUAGACGGCGAUGCAAGUCAGAAGUGAAAGCCCGCGGCUCAACUGCGGGACUGCUUUUGAAACUGUAUGGCUGGAGUGCAGGAGAGGUAAGCGGAAUUCCUGGUGUAGCUGUGAAAUGCGUAGAUAUCAGGAGGAACACCAGUGGCGAAGGCGGCUUACUGGACUGUAACUGACGUUGAGGCUCGAAAGCGUGGGGAGCAAACAGG